CAUGUCCAUUCAAUGUCAAAUGCUAGGCUUGACUAUACUAGGCCUACUGUAGCAUACCAUGAUAGGCUUGACUAGCUAGGCUACUGGUCUGCUGGAUGAAGGCUAGUUUAUUUCAUAUCCAUAGUUAUUAAGGCAUAUAUAGGCCUAGUCUGCAGUCAUUCACCUACCACUACAGGAUGGCAUGUAAUCUCUCAUCAAUAGAAGAUCGUUUGAUCGUUCAAUCUGGUUAAUUUAGGUGUCACAUUUUAACUGAAAUUAUGCAAGCAACCAACAUUCAAAAUAUGAAGAAGGCAAAGGGAUUAGAAGUAGGAACAAAGACAUCAAAGGGAGCUGGUAAAGGAGAGCUGUUGAAGGCACGUAAUCUGAAAAGAUACCUCAACCAGGAAAGUGUCACUUUGCAAAAGCUCACUGUUAACGGCGUAUCAGGCAAGUUGGGGGCCCCGAGUAUCAGAGGUAUUUCCGCAACUGGGACGAGGAGGAUGGCGUGGGACCAAUGAUGGUCAUUUUACUGGAGGAGAUAUUCCAGGACAAACAAGCAUUGGAAUAAUUCAACAAGUUUCUUCAAAAGGAAGGAAAGGAUGACCUGUUGAAAAAAUCUUUGGCAGUAUAUGUCAAGUUUUGACACGGUCGAGAAGUACUCAGCAUUCAAAAAACAGAAAGCCCAAGUUGCUAAAAGCCCAGUUUGCUCCUUUAAUGAAUGGGAUCCUUUAGAAGAAGUGAUCGUCAGACGAGUUGAGAACGCCACUGUUCCAGAAUUAACGCCAGAAAUCUAGGCUGUCGUCCCCGAAAACGGUGGAAUUUUUUUUAAAGAGAACACAUGAGGAAGGCUUCGUUAGAGAUUGCGGAUUUUUCCGAAUUUUAGAACACGAAGGAGUGAAGGUUCGACGACCCUAUGUACUUGAUCAUUUGAAAUCGUAUUCCACGCCUGAUUUCAGCUCGACAGGAUUGUAUUCAGCGAUGCCACGUGAUCUUCUGCUUGUGGUUGGUGAGGAAAUAAUAAA
This is a long non-coding RNA of Anneissia japonica, 1001 nucleotides long. RefSeq lists it as uncharacterized. The transcript has 6 exons. The record is from RefSeq and is a predicted model, not a curated record. NCBI's taxonomy places the organism in Eukaryota, Metazoa, Echinodermata, Crinoidea, Comatulida, Comatulidae.